GCAAUGUAUCUUAAAAUGUGAUUUAAAACCUCAUGUUAACGACACUUCUAUUCUUUUGCCUAACCAUAUAUUUAAAUUAACACCAAAAAGCACAUUUGUGUUGACAUGAAUUACAAUAUAUUUUGACUGUGUGGCUGUGGUAAUUAGUGGAAGGGCAUCAACUGGGUCCGCGCCACCAACAUACGAAGGACAGCAUCGACCUCGACCAGACAUUCGCAACGCAGGCUGUAGUGGGACAGAAACCUCGUAGAGCCAAAGAUCGCGUAUCCGUCGUCAGAUUAACCUUUUCAGUUCUAAUUGCCUCAUCGUCUCGCACAUUGCAGAGCCUUUGGAAACCUGGCUCAACAAGGACACAACUUCACCAUGUCAGAAACCAUUCAGAGAAAGACUGGCUUGGCCAACUCUGCUGAAGCCAAGAAAACAGAGCUCAGAAUUAAUGAGAAGAAAUGCUCAUGGGCAUCCUACAUGACAAACUCUCCCACAGUGAUUGUAAUGAUCGGCCUACCUGCCAGGGGAAAGACCUACAUGUCUAAGAAACUGACACGGUACCUCAACUGGAUAGGGGUGCCAACCAAAGUGUUUAACUUGGGUGUCUACCGCCGAGAGGCCGUCAAAGCUUACAAGUCCUACGACUUCUUCAGGCACGACAACAAGGAAGCCAUGGAAAUAAGGAAACAGUGUGCCCUGGUAGCCCUGGAGGAUGUGAAGGGAUAUCUAACUGAAGAAGGUGGACAAAUCGCUGUAUUUGAUGCAACAAACACAACAAGGGAGAGGAGAGACCUCAUUCUUGAUUUUGGGAAAGAGAAUGCAUUCAAGGUGUUCUUUGUGGAGUCAGUGUGUGACGACCCAGAAGUCAUUGCUGCUAAUAUUCUGGAAGUGAAGGUAUCCAGUCCAGACUACCCAGAGAGGCACAGAGAGAGAGUGAUGGAUGACUUUCUCAAACGCAUAGAGUGCUAUAAGGUUACAUACCAACCUUUGGAUCCCGAUGAUUAUGACAAGGACCUAUCCUUCAUCAAGGUGGAGAACGUGGGCCGGCGCUUCCUGGUGAACCGGGUGCAGGACUACAUCCAGAGUAAGAUAGUGUACUACCUCAUGAACAUCCAAGUGCACUCUCACUCCCUCUACCUGUGCCGGCAUGGAGAGAGCAAUCACAACAUGGAGGGCCGUAUCGGAGGUGACUCGGAGCUCUCCCCAGGAGGAAAACAGUUUGCUCAUGCCUUGCACAGCUUCAUUGAGGAGCACAAACUGUCUGACUUGAAGGUAUGGACUAGCCAGCUGAGACGCACCAUCCAGACUGCUGAGGAGCUGAUUGUGCCCUACGAACAGUGGAAGAUCCUCAAUGAGAUUGAUGCUGGUGUGUGUGAGGAGAUGACCUAUGAUAUGAUCCAGAAAUCCUUCCCAGAGGAGUUUGCCCUGAGGGACCAGGACAAGUACCACUACCGCUACCCAGGGGGAGAGUCCUACCAGGACCUGGUGCAGCGGUUAGAGCCUGUCAUCAUGGAGCUAGAGAGACAGGGCAAUGUGCUGGUUAUCUGUCACCAGGCUGUCAUGCGCUGCCUGCUGGCCUACUUCUUGGAUAAGAGUGCAGAUGACCUGCCCUACCUGAAAUGUCCACUGCACACAGUGCUCAAACUCACUCCUGUUGCGUAUGGCUGUAAAGUGGAAAUGUUUUAUCUUAAUGUGAAGGCAGUGAACACACAUCGCGACCGACCACUUGAUAAUGUCCCGAGGGACCCAGCUCCCAUGCUGCUCCGACGGAAUAGUUAUACCCCCCUGUCCAGUCUCGACCAGUUCAAGCGGCCCAGGCUCUACAGUGCCGGCAACCGGCCCUGGCUCCCUGAGAUGCCAGAGGGGAUGCUGCAGCAAAGCCAAGUUAGUGUCAAAAAUUGGCACCCACUUAAUGAAUCACUCUUAAUUCAACUCGGUCACCUCCCUCUUCCCACCUGCCACCCUCACCCCAAGCCAAUCCCUCUUUAUCCUUAGCAUCCCCUCACCCUUAAAUCCCUUUGAUAAUCCAGACAUGUUGUGGUCUUGUUGGUGGCUUCUCUUUAUAUUAUGUCUGUCUCUCCUCCAACAUCAGCUGUUUGUCUUGCAUGGUCUCCCCUUUUCUUCAUAGGCUGUAUGUCUCCAGCUUGAAUAUGCAUAGCACUAUUCCUAUCCCAAACAAACUGCACCUCUUAUACUCAUUUACGUCUUCUGAAUACCAUUCCAGAAGAUACACAGUUAAAACGUCUUCCAGUAAGCAGGUGUUAUACAUUAGUCAGUUAAAUCCAGCUGGUGAUCCUAGGAGAAGCAUGCUCUGUACAACAAUUAGCUUCAGAGCUCAAUACCACACAAGGACAGUAAAUAUAGACAUGUUGAUGUUUUGAGAUGCAUAUUCAACGUUUCUUGUUGUGGUGCAAGUCUGUUGGUUCAAUUUGGUUUGUUGUGAGUUCAGUACUAUAGCUAGUCCCCCCAUUUGUGUCUCUUCCUUUUGUCCCUUCCUGUCUGUCUGUCUGUCAUUACAGCCUCGUAUAGGAAGCUGUUUUCUGACUCCCUGUGUGAAGGAGUCGACUAUGACAGCCCAGAAACUAGUGGCUGUUUCCGCUUCUGAGUGACUACGAAGUCACCUUCAUGUUCAGCUGGUGCCUCAGUUUCUCCCUGUGACCUGAAGCUCAUCAUCAUCCUCUCCUCCAUUUCUCUGCAUGCCAAACCUCUGGAACAACUGGUGGAAUACUGUAACAAAAAAAAGCAGUUGUAGAAACAUCUCACGGAUGAUCAGUGGAAACAGGAUGCACCUGAGCUCAAUUUCGAUUCUCAUAGCAAAGGGUCUGAAUACUUAUGUAAAUAAGGUGUUUCAACCUGUUUUCGCUUUGUCAUUAUGGGGUAUUGUGUGUAGAUUGCUGAGGAUUAUUUAAUUCAUUUUAGAAUAAGGCUGUAACGUAACAAAAUGUGGGGAAAAAAUCUAGUGGGCUGAAUAAUUUCCGAAGGCACUGUGUAUAUAUAUUAUAUAUAAUUUUAGAUUAGAAGUUAGUCCAGUGCUCUUUAAAAAUUAAAUUAUUGUAUACUGAAAUGGUCACAUUUCUUAAUGUUGCAAGUUAUUUCCUGUGCCUUUUGGGGCAUGCUGCAUAAUAAAUAUGUGUAUAAUCAUACACAUGAAGGUUCCAAAUAAAUGUCAAGAGGUGUGACUAUAUAUUUGAUAGUUUUCCAAGGAUAGCCUGCUCUGCUCAAGAAUGUACUGUAUUCAAUACACGGCUGCGUGAAUUUUAACAUGCCAAAUGUUGCCUGUUGAUAUGGACUUCAUUGCAUCAAUCAGCUAGUUUAGCAUUGUUGAAUUGUAUUUAAGACGUUUCUCCAGUAAUUGUAUUAAAGAAUCAAUGAAGAUAUAAAACAGAUGUAAUUGUU
Molecule: RNA transcript, 3384 nt
Organism: Oncorhynchus kisutch (coho salmon)
Lineage: Eukaryota; Metazoa; Chordata; Actinopteri; Salmoniformes; Salmonidae
Gene name: 6-phosphofructo-2-kinase/fructose-2,6-bisphosphatase 2
Exons: 16
Source: RefSeq, a predicted model, not a curated record